Molecule: regulatory RNA element, 28 nt
Organism: Moheibacter sediminis
Lineage: Bacteria; Pseudomonadati; Bacteroidota; Flavobacteriia; Flavobacteriales; Weeksellaceae
Rfam family: L19-Flavobacteria ribosomal protein leader
Source: Rfam
AAACCUCUGACGAGAUCCGUGUAUGUUU